AGAGCAUUUGACAACACAUGCCUUGGCUUUAGCAAAACAUUUUAACGAUAAAUGUUUUAAUACUGUAUACAUGAAAUCUUACGAUAAUAAGUUGGAUACAGUAUAGUACCAGAAAGGCCGUUUACCAAAAGGCGUUGGCAGGAAACCAUCAACUGGAGAUAUAAAACCGAUUUCCACAAGAACCAGCUUU
Dreissena polymorpha is the source of this 190-nucleotide long non-coding RNA. RefSeq lists it as uncharacterized. Lineage: Eukaryota; Metazoa; Mollusca; Bivalvia; Myida; Dreissenidae. The record is from RefSeq and is a predicted model, not a curated record. The transcript has 3 exons.